GCCAGGUGUGGUGGCAUGUGCCUGUGGUCCCAGCUACUCGGGAGGCUGAGGCUAGAGGAUCGCUUGAGCCCCGGAGUUCUGGGCUGUAAUGCACUAUGCCGAUCAGGUGUCCACACUAAGUUCAGCAUCAACAUGGUGACCUUCUGGGAGCGGAGGACAACCAGGUUGCCUAAAGGGGGUAUGGCGGGAGGUGAACCAGCCCAGGUCAGAAAAGGAACAGGUAAAAACUCCUGUGCUGAUCAGUAGUGGGAUCACGCCUGUGAAUAGCCACUGCACUCCAGCCUGGGCAACACAGCGAGACUCCAUCUCU
This 310-nucleotide signal recognition particle RNA is filed under the name Saimiri boliviensis boliviensis (Bolivian squirrel monkey). RNAcentral describes it as "Metazoan signal recognition particle RNA (ENSSBOG00000005253.1)". It matches the Rfam family "Metazoan signal recognition particle RNA". From Rfam's summary of the family: The signal recognition particle (SRP) is a universally conserved ribonucleoprotein. It is involved in the co-translational targeting of proteins to membranes. The eukaryotic SRP consists of a 300-nucleotide 7S RNA and six proteins: SRPs 72, 68, 54, 19, 14, and 9. The record is from RNAcentral. Lineage: Eukaryota; Metazoa; Chordata; Mammalia; Primates; Cebidae.